RNAcentral lists this transfer RNA (72 nucleotides) under Fasciola gigantica. It matches the Rfam family "tRNA". Rfam says of the family: Transfer RNA (tRNA) molecules are approximately 80 nucleotides in length. Their secondary structure includes four short double-helical elements and three loops (D, anti-codon, and T loops). Further hydrogen bonds mediate the characteristic L-shaped molecular structure. tRNAs have two regions of fundamental functional importance: the anti-codon, which is responsible for specific mRNA codon recognition, and the 3' end, to which the tRNAs corresponding amino acid is attached (by aminoacyl-tRNA synthetases). tRNAs cope with the degeneracy of the genetic code in two manners: having more than one tRNA (with a specific anti-codon) for a particular amino acid; and 'wobble' base-pairing, i.e. permitting non-standard base-pairing at the 3rd anti-codon position. Lineage: Eukaryota; Metazoa; Platyhelminthes; Trematoda; Plagiorchiida; Fasciolidae. The record is from Rfam by way of RNAcentral.
UCCCGUGUAGUCUAGCGGUUAGGAUUCCUGGCUUUCACCCAGGCGGCCCGGGUUCGACUCCCGGCGCGAAAG